GGGUUGUGAGGUUAAGCGACUAAGCGUACACGGUGGAUGCCCUGGCAGUCAGAGGCGAUGAAGGACGUGCUAAUCUGCGAAAAGCGUCGGUAAGGUGAUAUGAACCGUUAUAGCCGGCGAUGUCCGAAUGGGGAAACCCAGUGCAAUUCGUUGCACUAUCGUUAACUGAAUACAUAGGUUAACGAGGCGAACCGGGGGAACUGAAACAUCUAAGUACCCCGAGGAAAAGAAAUCAACCGAGAUUCCCCCAGUAGCGGCGAGCGAACGGGGAGCAGCCCAGAGUCUGAAUCAGCUUGUGUGUUAGUGGAACGGUCUGGAAAGUCCGACGGUACAGGGUGAUAGUCCCGUACACCAAAAUGCACAGGUUGUGAACUCGAAGAGUAGGGCGGGACACGUGGUAUCCUGUCUGAAUAUGGGGGGACCAUCCUCCAAGGCUAAAUACUCCUGACUGACCGAUAGUGAACCAGUACCGUGAGGGAAAGGCGAAAAGAACCCCGGCGAGGGGAGUGAAAAAGAACCUGAAACCGUGUACGUACAAGCAGUGGGAGCACCUUCGGGUGUGACUGCGUACCUUUUGUAUAAUGGGUCAGCGACUUAUAUUCUGUAGCAAGGUUAACCGUAUAGGGGAGCCGCAGGGAAACCGAGUCUUAACUGGGCGUUAAGUUGCAGGGUAUAGACCCGAAACCCGGUGAUCUAGCCAUGGGCAGGUUGAAGGUUGGGUAACACUAACUGGAGGACCGAACCGACUAAUGUUGAAAAAUUAGCGGAUGACUUGUGGCUGGGGGUGAAAGGCCAAUCAAACCGGGAGAUAGCUGGUUCUCCCCGAAAGCUAUUUAGGUAGCGCCUCGUGAACUCAUCUUCGGGGGUAGAGCACUGUUUCGGCUAGGGGGUCAUCCCGACUUACCAACCCGAUGCAAACUACGAAUACCGAAGAAUGUUAUCACGGGAGACACACGGCGGGUGCUAACGUCCGUCGUGAAGAGGGAAACAACCCAGACCGCCAGCUAAGGUCCCAAAGUCAUGGUUAAGUGGGAAACGAUGUGGGAAGGCACAGACAGCCAGGAUGUUGGCUUAGAAGCAGCCAUCAUUUAAAGAAAGCGUAAUAGCUCACUGGUCGAGUCGGCCUGCGCGGAAGAUGUAACGGGGCUAAACCAUGCACCGAAGCUGCGGCAGCGACACUAUGUGUUGUUGGGUAGGGGAGCGUUCUGUAAGCCUGCGAAGGUGUGCUGUGAGGCAUGCUGGAGGUAUCAGAAGUGCGAAUGCUGACAUAAGUAACGAUAAAGCGGGUGAAAAGCCCGCUCGCCGGAAGACCAAGGGUUCCUGUCCAACGUUAAUCGGGGCAGGGUGAGUCGACCCCUAAGGCGAGGCCGAAAGGCGUAGUCGAUGGGAAACAGGUUAAUAUUCCUGUACUUGGUGUUACUGCGAAGGGGGGACGGAGAAGGCUAUGUUAGCCGGGCGACGGUUGUCCCGGUUUAAGCAUGUAGGCUGGUUAUCCAGGCAAAUCCGGAUAAUCAAGGCUGAGGUGUGAUGACGAGGCACUACGGUGCUGAAGUAACAAAUGCCCUGCUUCCAGGAAAAGCCUCUAAGCAUCAGGUAACAUCAAAUCGUACCCCAAACCGACACAGGUGGUCAGGUAGAGAAUACCAAGGCGCUUGAGAGAACUCGGGUGAAGGAACUAGGCAAAAUGGUGCCGUAACUUCGGGAGAAGGCACGCUGGUGUGUAGGUGAAGUCCCUGCGGAUGGAGCUGAGACCAGUCGAAGAUACCAGCUGGCUGCAACUGUUUAUUAAAAACACAGCACUGUGCAAACACGAAAGUGGACGUAUACGGUGUGACGCCUGCCCGGUGCCGGAAGGUUAAUUGAUGGGGUUAUCCGUAAGGAGAAGCUCUUGAUCGAAGCCCCGGUAAACGGCGGCCGUAACUAUAACGGUCCUAAGGUAGCGAAAUUCCUUGUCGGGUAAGUUCCGACCUGCACGAAUGGCGUAAUGAUGGCCAGGCUGUCUCCACCCGAGACUCAGUGAAAUUGAACUCGCUGUGAAGAUGCAGUGUACCCGCGGCAAGACGGAAAGACCCCGUGAACCUUUACUAUAGCUUGACACUGAACAUUGAGCCUUGAUGUGUAGGAUAGGUGGGAGGCUUUGAAGCGUGGACGCCAGUCUGCGUGGAGCCAACCUUGAAAUACCACCCUUUAAUGUUUGAUGUUCUAACGUUGGCCCCUUACCGGGGUUGCGGACAGUGUCUGGUGGGUAGUUUGACUGGGGCGGUCUCCUCCCAAAGCGUAACGGAGGAGCACGAAGGUUAGCUAAUCCUGGUCGGACAUCAGGAGGUUAGUGCAAUGGCAUAAGCUAGCUUGACUGCGAGCGUGACGGCGCGAGCAGGUGCGAAAGCAGGUCAUAGUGAUCCGGUGGUUCUGAAUGGAAGGGCCAUCGCUCAACGGAUAAAAGGUACUCCGGGGAUAACAGGCUGAUACCGCCCAAGAGUUCAUAUCGACGGCGGUGUUUGGCACCUCGAUGUCGGCUCAUCACAUCCUGGGGCUGAAGUAGGUCCCAAGGGUAUGGCUGUUCGCCAUUUAAAGUGGUACGCGAGCUGGGUUUAGAACGUCGUGAGACAGUUCGGUCCCUAUCUGCCGUGGGCGCUGGAGAAUUGAGGGGGGCUGCUCCUAGUACGAGAGGACCGGAGUGGACGCAUCACUGGUGUUCGGGUUGUCAUGCCAAUGGCACUGCCCGGUAGCUAAAUGCGGAAGAGAUAAGUGCUGAAAGCAUCUAAGCACGAAACUUGCCCCGAGAUGAGUUCUCCCUGAGACUUUAAGUCUCCUGAAGGAACGUUAAAGACGAUGACGUUGAUAGGCCGGGUGUGUAAGCGCAGCGAUGCGUUGAGCUAACCGGUACUAAUGAACCGUGAGGCUUAACCUUACAACGCCGAAG
RNAcentral lists this ribosomal RNA (2923 nucleotides) under Klebsiella pneumoniae. Its description in RNAcentral is "bacterial LSU rRNA". It matches the Rfam family "Bacterial large subunit ribosomal RNA". Lineage: Bacteria; Pseudomonadati; Pseudomonadota; Gammaproteobacteria; Enterobacterales; Enterobacteriaceae. The record is from RNAcentral. RNAcentral also lists the same sequence under 1 other name.